RNAcentral lists this ribosomal RNA (497 nucleotides) under uncultured bacterium. Its description in RNAcentral is "partial 16S ribosomal RNA". It matches the Rfam family "Bacterial small subunit ribosomal RNA", at positions 28 to 507 of the family's 1533-position model. The record is from RNAcentral.
GAUGAACGCUGGCGGCGUGCCUAAUACAUGCAAGUCGAGCGAACGGACGAGAAGCUUGCUUCUCUGAUGUUAGCGGCGGACGGGUGAGUAACACGUGGAUAACCUACCUAUAAGACUGGGAUAACUUCGGGAAACCGUAGCUAAUACCGGAUAAUAUUUUGAACCGCAUGGUUCAAAAGUGAAAGACGGUCUUGCUGUCACUUAUAGAUGGAUCCGCGCUGCAUUAGCUAGUUGGUAAGGUAACGGCUUACCAAGGCAACGAUGCAUAGCCGACCUGAGAGGGGGAUCGGCCACACGGGAACUGAGCCGCGGUCCAGGCUCCUACGGGAGGCAGCAGUAGGGAAUCUUCCGCAGUGGGCGAAAGCCUGACGGAGCAACGCCGAGUGAGUGAUGAAGGUCUUCGGAUCGUAAAACUCUGUUAUUAGGGAAGAACAUAUGUGUAAGUAACUGUGCACAUCUUGACGGUACCUAAUCAGAAAGCCACGGCUAACUACGUG